UACGAAGGGGGCUAGCGUUGUUCGGAAUUACUGGGCGUAAAGCGCACGUAGGCGGACUUGUAAGUCAGGGGUGAAAUCCCGGGGCUCAACCCCGGAACUGCUUUUGAUACUGCAAGUCUAGAGGUCGAGAGAGGUGAGUGGAAUUCCGAGUGUAGAGGUGAAAUUCGUAGAUAUUCGGAGGAACACCAGUGGCGAAGGCGGCUCACUGGCUCGAUACUGACGCUGAGGUGCGAAAGCGUUGGGAGCAAACAGG
Molecule: ribosomal RNA, 253 nt
Filed under: uncultured bacterium
Lineage: Bacteria
Description: partial 16S ribosomal RNA
Rfam family: Bacterial small subunit ribosomal RNA
Source: RNAcentral